GUACACAAAAAUGCACAUAUUGUGAGCUCGAUGAGUAGGGCGGGACACGUGGUAUCCUGUCUGAAUAUGGGGGGACCAUCCUCCAAGGCUAAAUACUCCUGACUGACCGAUAGUGAACCAGUACCGUGAGGGAAAGGCGAAAAGAACCCCGGCGAGGGGAGUGAAAAAGAACCUGAAACCGUGUACGUACAAGCAGUGGGAGCCUCUUUAUGGGGUGACUGCGUACCUUUUGUAUAAUGGGUCAGCGACUUAUAUUCUGUAGCAAGGUUAACCGAAUAGGGGAGCCGAAGGGAAACCGAGUCUUAACUGGGCGUUAAGUUGCAGGGUAUAGACCCGAAACCCGGUGAUCUAGCCAUGGGCAGGUUGAAGGUUGGGUAACACUAACUGGAGGACCGAACCGACUAAUGUUGAAAAAUUAGCGGAUGACUUGUGGCUGGGGGUGAAAGGCCAAUCAAACCGGGAGAUAGCUGGUUCUCCCCGAAAGCUAUUUAGGUAGCGCCUCGUGAAUUCAUCUCCGGGGGUAGAGCACUGUUUCGGCAAGGGGGUCAUCCCGACUUACCAACCCGAUGCAAACUGCGAAUACCGGAGAAUGUUAUCACGGGAGACACACGGCGGGUGCUAACGUCCGUCGUGAAGAGGGAAACAACCCAGACCGCCAGCUAAGGUCCCAAAGUCAUGGUUAAGUGGGAAACGAUGUGGGAAGGCCCAGACAGCCAGGAUGUUGGCUUAGAAGCAGCCAUCAUUUAAAGAAAGCGUAAUAGCUCACUGGUCGAGUCGGCCUGCGCGGAAGAUGUAACGGGGCUAAACCAUGCACCGAAGCUGCGGCAGCGACACUAUGUGUUGUUGGGUAGGGGAGCGUUCUGUAAGCCUGUGAAGGUGGCCUGUGAGGGUUGCUGGAGGUAUCAGAAGUGCGAAUGCUGACAUAAGUAACGAUAAAGCGGGUGAAAAGCCCGCUCGCCGGAAGACCAAGGGUUCCUGUCCAACGUUAAUCGGGGCAGGGUGAGUCGACCCCUAAGGCGAGGCCGAAAGGCGUAGUCGAUGGGAAACAGGUUAAUAUUCCUGUACUUGGUGUUACUGCGAAGGGGGGACGGAGAAGGCUAUGUUGGCCGGGCGACGGUUGUCCCGGUUUAAGCGUGUAGGCUGGUUUUCCAGGCAAAUCCGGAAAACCAAGGCUGAGGCGUGAUGACGAGGCACUACGGUGCUGAAGCGACAAAUGCCCUGCUUCCAGGAAAAGCCUCUAAGCAUCAGGUAACAUCAAAUCGUACCCCAAACCGACACAGGUGGUCAGGUAGAGAAUACCAAGGCGCUUGAGAGAACUCGGGUGAAGGAACUAGGCAAAAUGGUGCCGUAACUUCGGGAGAAGGCACGCUGAUAUGUAGGUGAAGCGACUUGCUCGUGGAGCUGAAAUCAGUCGAAGAUACCAGCUGGCUGCAACUGUUUAUUAAAAACACAGCACUGUGCAAACACGAAAGUGGACGUAUACGGUGUGACGCCUGCCCGGUGCCGGAAGGUUAAUUGAUGGGGUUAGCGGUAACGCGAAGCUCUUGAUCGAAGCCCCGGUAAACGGCGGCCGUAACUAUAACGGUCCUAAGGUAGCGAAAUUCCUUGUCGGGUAAGUUCCGACCUGCACGAAUGGCGUAAUGAUGGCCAGGCUGUCUCCACCCGAGACUCAGUGAAAUUGAACUCGCUGUGAAGAUGCAGUGUACCCGCGGCAAGACGGAAAGACCCCGUGAACCUUUACUAUAGCUUGACACUGAACAUUGAGCCUUGAUGUGUAGGAUAGGUGGGAGGCUUUGAAGUGUGGACGCCAGUCUGCAUGGAGCCGACCUUGAAAUACCACCCUUUAAUGUUUGAUGUUCUAACGUUGGCCCGUAAUCCGGGUUGCGGACAGUGUCUGGUGGGUAGUUUGACUGGGGCGGUCUCCUCCUAAAGAGUAACGGAGGAGCACGAAGGUUGGCUAAUCCUGGUCGGACAUCAGGAGGUUAGUGCAAUGGCAUAAGCCAGCUUGACUGCGAGCGUGACGGCGCGAGCAGGUGCGAAAGCAGGUCAUAGUGAUCCGGUGGUUCUGAAUGGAAGGGCCAUCGCUCAACGGAUAAAAGGUACUCCGGGGAUAACAGGCUGAUACCGCCCAAGAGUUCAUAUCGACGGCGGUGUUUGGCACCUCGAUGUCGGCUCAUCACAUCCUGGGGCUGAAGUAGGUCCCAAGGGUAUGGCUGUUCGCCAUUUAAAGUGGUACGCGAGCUGGGUUUAGAACGUCGUGAGACAGUUCGGUCCCUAUCUGCCGUGGGCGCUGGAGAACUGAGGGGGGCUGCUCCUAGUACGAGAGGACCGGAGUGGACGCAUCACUGGUGUUCGGGUUGUCAUGCCAAUGGCACUGCCCGGUAGCUAAAUGCGGAAGAGAUAAGUGCUGAAAGCAUCUAAGCACGAAACUUGCCCCGAGAUGAGUUCUCCCUGACUCCUUGAGAGUCCUGAAGGAACGUUGAAGACG
RNAcentral lists this ribosomal RNA (2488 nucleotides) under Escherichia coli. RNAcentral describes it as "partial 23S ribosomal RNA". It matches the Rfam family "Bacterial large subunit ribosomal RNA", at positions 375 to 2846 of the family's 2925-position model. The record is from RNAcentral. Lineage: Bacteria; Pseudomonadati; Pseudomonadota; Gammaproteobacteria; Enterobacterales; Enterobacteriaceae.